UAUUGCGCAAUGGGCGCAAGCCUGACGCAGCGACGCCGCGUGAGGGAUGAAGGUCUUAGGAUCGUAAACCUCUGUCAGCAGGGAAGAACGGUCACUGUGCUAAUCAGCAGUGAAUUGACGGUACCUGCAAAGGAAGCACCGGCUAACUCCGCGCCAGCCGCCGCGGUAAUACGGAGGGUGCGAGCGUUAACCGGAAUUACUGGGCGGAAAGCGCUCGUAGGCGGUAUGUCAAGUCAAGGUGGAAAUCCCCGCGCUCAACGUGGGAACUGCCUUUGAAACUGGCAAACUGGAGUGUGUGAGAGGAUAGUGGAAUUCCAGGUGUAGGAGUGAAAUCCGUAGAUAUCUGGAGGAACAUCAGUGGCGAAGGCGACUAUCUGGCACAUAACUGACGCUGAGGAGCGAAAGCGUGGGUAGCAAACAGG
Molecule: ribosomal RNA, 422 nt
Filed under: uncultured bacterium
Lineage: Bacteria
Description: bacterial SSU rRNA
Rfam family: Bacterial small subunit ribosomal RNA
Source: RNAcentral